Molecule: ribosomal RNA, 257 nt
Filed under: uncultured bacterium
Lineage: Bacteria
Description: partial 16S ribosomal RNA
Rfam family: Bacterial small subunit ribosomal RNA
Source: RNAcentral
UGGCGGACGGGUGAGUAACGCGUGGAUAACCUGCCGUAUACUGGGGGAUAACACUUAGAAAUAGGUGCUAAUACCGCAUAAGCGCACAGUCUCGCAUGAGACGGUGUGAAAAACUCCGGUGGUAUACGAUGGAUCCGCGUCUGAUUAGCUUGUUGGCGGGGUAACAGCCCACCAAGGCGACGAUCAGUAGCCGGCCUGAGAGGGUGAACGGCCACAUUGGGACUGAGACACGGCCCAAACUCUACGGAAGGCAGCAG